AGGAAUGAGGAUGUGAGGGGCUGCUUGCCUUGUCCACAGACUUCAUUUCCCUAGGGUUGUAUCUCAGAGAUUCCUGGGUCACAUUGUCAUAUACUUCCCCCGAUUCACUAGGAAUUGCUCCUCUCUUCAUGGACCAAUGUAUCCCUUGAAAGUUGCAUUCGUCACAAACAUGUUUCCCAGAGGUGGGUGCCUGAUUUUUCUGGCCCUGACCAGGUGUCCAUUACCAUUUGUGACUUCAGCCCCAGGCAGAUUUAGGUCCCCAUCCAUUCCAGGCGCAGGGCCUUGUGCUGCAAGAUGCUGGGAUUUAUCUUCCCUGUCAAUCGAGUUCAAAUUCCUUGGACUUCAGCCCAUAGGCUUACAAGUGCAGCCUCAUUGCUACAAGGAAAUAUUAAGUGAGUCUUAUCUGCUGUGCGCAGCUGGUUCUCAGAGUUCAGUGAAUUGCUAUUUCCUUUGAUAUAGCAAACUCAAUUCGAAAUUGGGAUUGGAAAAACACAUUCGUUGACCAUUUCCUUCUCCAAGAUUGAUGUUGAAAAUAGACGGAGAUAUAAAUUCCAAGACUGGCUAUGUUUAAAAGAACAUAUUACCACAAAGCUACCACUUCGAGAAAUAUUAAGAAGGCUUCUAUAAACAUAGAAAGAACCCAAAAUGACAUAGAGCAGAAUUUUACACAGACAAUCUAUAGAAGCAAGGUCUUCACAUGAAACGUGAUGUCAAUAAAAACCUGUCUUUCAAUAAUCACUUCCCAUGUGAACAGUCUAAAUGCUCCCAUAAAAUGGCAUUGGCUUGCAGAUUGGAUUAAACAAGAGGCUCCAUCCAUACCUUGUCUAUAAGAGACACUUUUGGAACUGAAAGUUUUAUCCACACUGAAAGAGAAGGAAAGGAGAAACAUCUUUAAUGCCAACAGGCCUCACAUGACAACUGGGGCAGCAUUUAUCAUAUCAGAUGAAUCAGAUUAUAAGUCAAAGACUGUAGUUAGAAAUACAGAAGGACAUUAUAUCAUUGUUAAAUGCUCUAUGCACCAAGAAUUUCUAACAAUUGUAAAUAUUUAUGCCCCUAAUAUGGGAGAAGCCAACUACAUAAGCCCAACUGUUAAUCAAAAUAAAGAGUCAUAUUGAUAUGAAUACAUUAAUUGUAGCAGAUCUUAACAUGCCACUCAACAAUAGUAAGAUCAUCCAACUGAAAAUCAAGAAAGAUACAAGAGCUUUCAAUGAUGCAUUGGACAAGAAGAACCUCACAGAUAUACACAGAACACUCUAGAAGAACUCAUUCUUCUUGAGUGCACGUUUCUCUAGCAUAGACCACAUAUUGGGUCAAAAAUCAGGACUCAAUACCAGUAGAUCGAGAUUAUUCAUUGCAUAUUCUCAGACCACAAGUCUUUGAAACUGGUGCUCAACCACAAGAAAAAGUUUGGAAGGAAUUCCAACACUUGGAAGCUAAAGACCUCCUGCCCAAGGAUGUUUGGAUCAACCAGGAAAUCAAGGAAGAACUUAAACAAUUCAAGGAAACUAAUGAGAAUGAGGACAUAUUGGUCCAAAACCUAUGGGAUACGACAAGGGUGGUCCUAAAGGGAAAAUGCAUGGUGAUCCAAGCCUCAAUCCAAAAAGAAAAAAUAAAAAUUUGUAAAACAGCAGCUGUCUUUACACCUUGAGAAACUGGAUAAUCAACAACAAAUUAGGCCAACCCCACACACAAGAAGGGAAAUAAUCAAGAUUAGAGCAGAGAUCAAUAAGUUAGAAACUAGAUAUACAGUAGAACACAUAAACAAAACUAGAAACUGUUUCUUUGAAAGAAUCAAUAACGAAGGAAAGGGACAAGAUGGCAGAGAAUUAGGAGAUGCUGUUUCAAUUGGUCCGCUAAAGGGAGUUGAUAAUCUACCAGAACACUCUAGAUAUCCAUGAAAUCAGCCUUAGAUGUAGGAUUAUACAAUUCUGGAUCCCUAUGGGGGACAGAAGAUACCAGUGGUCAGGUAAAGUGGAGUUUUGAAGGAUCAGACUGUUAUCAGAGGAUAAACAGAAGGGGAGGGUCACCAGAAGCAACCCAUUGGAAAGUAGUACCCCAGUAUGAGAGUGUCCUGUGAUUGGAGAACAGCAUGAACUUGGAGUCUGGUUAAAAGCACUCAACAAAAGCAAAAGAUCUUAAAGGGCAACUGGUAGAAUCAGCCAGUCAUGGACACAGGCUAAAGCAUAGGGACCCAGGGCGGCCACCUCUGGUGACCACCCAUGCCAGACAGAAUGUGGUAAAGCCUCCAGGCCAUGGUCCUGAGGCACUGGGCACACAUGAGAGGGUAUGUGUGGAUGCCAGCCUGCACUCUCUCGAACCACAGCCUUUUGCACUCUGCACACUCACUGCACGACCAGGCACUCUCCACACUGAAAGAGGUCCAUGCAGGUGCUAGCCUGUGGUCUCUAGGACCAGCCAAGGGUCUGAACACUCCCAGGCCAGAAAAUGGGGCAUAAAAAUCUCACCACACUAUCUCUGGUUGGGAUAUCUCUGGCGGUCUGGACAUGCCCAAACAACAGCCCAGCAAAGGCAACCACUGGAAGCAGGCUCCCUGGACCAAUAUUGCUAAUGGUUUUGGUAACACAGGGGUACAAAGACAAGCAGGAGCUCCUGCUACUCCUAAGAUGGUGCCUAGGGAUGUGCUCUGCUGGUGGAUGGUGACAGAGGGAGAGUCUGUGGGUUCUGGACCACCCAGAAGGGAAGAGAUUGAGGCUUCUCUCUGAGAUGGGGGUCUGGGUGCAGUUUGCAUUCCUCUAAACCUCCAAAGAACCACAAAAAGCUUCCAAGGGGAAAAAAAUUCCUCUAGAGAACAAAAGCCCAGCCCAUUGAAAGGGGGCAGGAGGACUCAAGCAAGACUGCCUGAAAAACAGCAUGGCAGGCCCCACCCCAAGAAAGCCAGCCAAAAAAAAAGAAAGAAAGAAAAGAAGACAACCACCACAGGGUCCCCAUAAAACAGUAAAACCCCAAUAUCAGGGGAAAAGAAGAUAUUAAGCUCCUUGCAAUGCUCUAAAAUCCUGUGUAUUUCAUAGAUACAACUUUUAUUUUUAAUCUGUUCCCACUAUUCUCAUUCUUAAUUUUUAAAAAUUUUAACCUAUUUACCAUUACAGCGAGAGGUUCAACACAAAAAUUCCAUGCUAAUCUUUUAACUUAAACUUUUUUUAAAAAAAGAUUUUAUUUAUUUAUUUGACAGACAGAGAUCACAAGCAGGCAGAGAGGCAGGCAGAGAGAGAGGAGGAAGCAGGCUCCCUGCUGAGAGCCCGAUGCGGGGCUCAAUCCCAGGACCCUGGGAUCAUGACCUGAGCCGAAGGCAGUGGCUUAACCCACCGAGCCACCCAGGCGCCCCAAACUUUUUGAUACAUAU
Mustela lutreola (European mink) is the source of this 3361-nucleotide long non-coding RNA. RefSeq lists it as uncharacterized. Lineage: Eukaryota; Metazoa; Chordata; Mammalia; Carnivora; Mustelidae. The transcript is spliced from 3 exons. The record is from RefSeq and is a predicted model, not a curated record.